This 56-nucleotide transfer RNA is filed under the name Coniochaeta ligniaria NRRL 30616. It matches the Rfam family "tRNA", at positions 8 to 63 of the family's 71-position model. From Rfam's summary of the family: Transfer RNA (tRNA) molecules are approximately 80 nucleotides in length. The record is from Rfam by way of RNAcentral. Lineage: Eukaryota; Fungi; Ascomycota; Sordariomycetes; Coniochaetales; Coniochaetaceae.
UAGUUUAAUGGUAAAACAUAGUGUUACGGCUACUAAGAAAUAAGUUCGAAUCUUAU